AUGCCGCCCAAUCCGACGGAGCCGGAGCAGCCGGAGGCGGCCGCCACGCCGGCGCCGCCCAAGAAGAAGAGGAACCUCCCCGGGACGCCAGAUCCGGACGCGGAGGUGAUCGCGCUGUCGCCGGGGACGCUCAUGGCGACCAACCGGUUCGUGUGCGAGGUGUGCGGCAAGGGCUUCCAGAGGGACCAGAACCUGCAGCUCCACCGCCGGGGGCACAACCUUCCGUGGCGGCUGCGGCAGCGCGGCCCCGGGGCGGCGCCGCCGCGCCGUAGGGUCUACGUCUGCCCGGAGCCCGGCUGCGUGCACCACUCCCCCGCCCGCGCGCUCGGGGACCUCACGGGCAUCAAGAAGCACUUCUGCCGCAAGCACGGCGAGAAGCGAUGGGCCUGCCCACGCUGCGGCAAGCGCUACGCCGUCCAGGCCGACCUCAAGGCCCAUGCCAAGACCUGCGGCACCCGCGAGUAUCGCUGUGACUGCGGCACACUCUUCACCAGGAGGGAUAGUUUCGUGACACAUCGCGCUUUCUGUGGCGCUCUCGUCGAGGAGACCGGCAGAGUGCUUGCUGUUCCGGCGCCGCCUUCGCCUCGGCCACCUGAUUUGCAGGAGGUUGAGGAGAAUGUGGACAAGGACAAGGAGAAAGAAGAGGAGAAUGUGGAUAAGCACAAGGAAAAGGAGGAUGAGGAGGACAAGGGGGGAGAAGAUGAAAAUGAGACUUCUGCCGUGGCCGAGGUGGAUGAGCCGCAGAACGUUGAGGCAGCAAUGGAGGAGCCACAGCAGCAGCGGAUUCCGCCGUCGCCAUCUCCAACGCCGACAUCUCCAACGCCACAGGAGCAGCAGCCAAUGGUGGCAGUUGUGCCAAAUUUGGAUGAGCCAGUGGUGGUUGUGGAGCCAAUUGUGGAUAUCAAGCAAGAGGAGGAAGAUAAGCGAGAUGAAGAUGUUUGCUUCCAGGAAGCUGAUAAGUACGACGGCGCUGAACUAGAAGACUCCAACUUGCCAGAUAAUGAUACCCCGAUGCCUCCUUGUUUCCUCCCCUCGCCCUCGGAUGCCAUUGGUACAGAUGGCAGCAGCACCAGUUGUGGCACAGUCAGCAGUGCAUCUAAUUCCAUUGCGCCAGCAACGACGACUAGCACAUUUGCGGGGCUGUUUGCAUCAGCCACAACAAGCACAACUCCCCAGAGUAGAUCGCUGCGUGAUCUUAUCGGUGUUGAUCCCACCUUCCUUUGCCUUGCAAUAGGUACACCAUCCUCUCUGUUCCCGCAGACAGAUGCAAGCAACCCCGGCACCUUUGCUCCACCACCAGCACCGCACAUAUCUGCCACUGCACUCCUGCAGAAGGCUGCUGAGGCUGGAGCUUCGCAAGCAGGCACAUCUUUCUUGAAGGAGUUUGGUCUUGCAAGUUCCUCCUCAUCAACUCCAUCCAGGCCACCUCAAGGAAGGUUCAUCGAGAGCAGCUCAAUGCAAUCCCAGCAACCCCAAGGAAGGUUCAUCGAGAGCAGCUCAACGCAAUCCCGGUUACCUCAAGACAGGUUCAUCGACAGCAGCUCAACACAAUCCCAGUUACCUAAAGACAGGUUCAUCGACAGCAUCUCAACACAAUCCCGGUUACCUCAUGACAGGUUCAUCGAGAGCAGCUCAACACAAUCCCGGUUACCUCAAGACAGGUUCAUCGAGAGCAGCUCAACACAAUUUCGAUUACCUCAAGAUAGGUACAUCAAUAACUCGAUGCCAUCCAAGCUAUCUCAAGGGAGAUUCAUGGAUACCUCACUGCCAUCCCAGCAGCUGCUACCUCAAGGAAGGUUCUUUGACAACUCGCCAGCAUCAAAUCUGUCUCAAGGAAGGUUCUUUGAUAACUCGCAACCAUCCAAUCCACCUCAAGGAAGGUUCUUCAUCAACUCGCCAUCAUCCAAUCUUCCUCAUGGAAGGUUCACUGAUUAUUCGUCACCAGGAAGGUUGCCUCAAGGAAUGUACAUCGAUGGCUUGCCACAAUCCAGGCUACCACAAGGAAGGUACAUGGACAACUCACCACCGGCCAAGCUACCACCACAGGGGGGAAGGUUCGUUGAUAGCAAUCAACAGCAGUGGCACCAAAGGAGCAAUAAUCAUAACCAGCUAAUGGAUAUGGAGCCUGGGCCGAUGGUAUCUGGUAGCCUUGGCCUUGGUCUCGCCUAUGAAGGUUCAAAUCCAAGGUUGCCAGAUUUGAUGAUGGGGCAAUCACCACUGUUGGGUCCCAAGCCUGCCACUCUGGACUUCCUUGGGCUUGGCAUCGGAGGGACCAUGGGCGGCUCCACGGCCAGCGGUGGCCUACCGGCAUUGAUGGUGGGAGGAGAGCUGGACAUGGGGUCUGCCGCACAGCCGCCCUCUCCAUGGGAGGAGGCACAGAGAAAGACCAACGGCCGCACGAUCCUGUGA
Molecule: ribosomal RNA, 2409 nt
Filed under: Triticum aestivum (bread wheat)
Lineage: Eukaryota; Viridiplantae; Streptophyta; Magnoliopsida; Poales; Poaceae
Description: partial small subunit ribosomal RNA
Source: RNAcentral